UACGUGGGAGGCGAGCGUUGUCCGGAAUUACUGGGCGUAAAGAGCGCGUAGGUGGCGCGAUACGACCGGUGUGAAAUCCUCCGGCUCAACUGGAGGGGGUCACUGGUAACGGUCGUGCUAUGAGUGCAGGAGAGGGAAGUGGAACUCCGGGAGUAGCGGUGAAAUGCGUAGAGACCCGGAGGAACACCAGUGGCGAAGGCGGCUUCCUGGUCUGCGACUGACGCUGUGGCGCGAAAGCUAGGGGAGCAAACGGG
Molecule: ribosomal RNA, 254 nt
Filed under: uncultured bacterium
Lineage: Bacteria
Description: partial 16S ribosomal RNA
Rfam family: Bacterial small subunit ribosomal RNA
Source: RNAcentral